Molecule: ribosomal RNA, 712 nt
Filed under: Lucilia sericata (common green bottle fly)
Lineage: Eukaryota; Metazoa; Arthropoda; Insecta; Diptera; Calliphoridae
Description: eukaryotic LSU rRNA
Rfam family: Eukaryotic large subunit ribosomal RNA
Source: RNAcentral
GGAUUUUCUUAGUAGCGGCGAGCGAAAAGAAAAUAGUUCAGCACUAAGUCACUUUGUCUUUAUGGCAAAUGUGAGAUGCAGUGUAUGGAAUGUCAAAUUUCUAGUAUGAGAAAUUAACGAUUUAAGUCCUUCUUAAAUGAGGCCAUUUACCCAAAGAGGGUGCCAGGCCCGUAUAACGUUAAUGAUUACUAGAUGGCAUUUCCAAAGAGUCGUGUUGCUUGAUAGUGCAGCACUAAGUGGGUGGUAAACUCCAUCUAAAACUAAAUAUAACCAUGAGACCGAUAGUAAACAAGUACCGUGAGGGAAAGUUGAAAAGAACUCUGAAUAGAGAGUUAAAUAGUACGUGAAACUGCUUAGAGGUUAAGCCCGAUGAACCUGAAUAUCCGUUAUGGAAAAUUCAUCAUUAUGAUUUUAAUAUUUAUAAUAUUAUAAUAAUGGUGUGCAUUUUUUCUAUAAAGGACAUUGUAAUCUAUUAACUUUACAUUAUUUAUCAUAAGAUCAUUAGAUUAUGUUUAUUCAAAUUAUUUUGCUUGCAAUUUAAUAUCGAAUAAAUUCUUUUGAUUUGAUAAAGCGUUGAUAGAUUUAUUAUAUACAGUGCUUAAAUAUUUAUAUUUUAUAAUAUCAUAUUAAUCAAUGAUUUUUAUGUUCAUUAUAUGCACUUGUAUGAUUAACAAUGCGAAAGAUUCAGGAUACCUUCGGGACCCGUCUUGAA